This 1577-nucleotide ribosomal RNA is filed under the name human gut metagenome. RNAcentral describes it as "bacterial LSU rRNA". It matches the Rfam family "Bacterial large subunit ribosomal RNA", at positions 1326 to 2925 of the family's 2925-position model. The record is from RNAcentral.
AAUCCUCUAGGCCGAAUAUCCAAGGUUUCCAGGGUAAAGCUGAUCUGCCCUGGGUGAGUCGGGACCUAAGGUGAGGGCGAGAGCCGUAGCCGAUGGACAACAGGUUGAUAUUCCUGUACUGCAGUAUGACAGAACUGUGGGGACACGUAAGGAGAGCGGGAGCCGGGAAUGGAAAGCCCGGUACAAGCGAGGUACCAGUAUGGUAGGAAAAUCCGCCAUGCAAUGGGAAGACGUGAUGUGGAGUGAAUUUUAGUAACGAAGCCCGUGAGCCAUGCGUCAAGAAAAGCCGCUAUCGUUCAUAUUGUACCCGUACCGUAAACCGACACAGGUGGAUGAGGAGAGAAUCCUAAGGCCGGCGGAAGAAGUAUUGCCAAGGAACUCGGCAAAAUGGCCCCGUAACUUAGGGAGAAGGGGUGCCUGCGAGAGCAGGCCGCAGAGAAUAGGCUCAAGCAACUGUUUAGCAAAAACACAGGUCUAUGCGAAACCGAAAGGUGAGGUAUAUGGGCUGACGCCUGCCCGGUGCUGGAAGGUUAAGAGGAGAGGUUAGCGCAAGCGAAGCUUUGAAUUUAAGCCCCAGUAAACGGCGGCCGUAACUAUAACGGUCCUAAGGUAGCGAAAUUCCUUGUCGGGUAAGUUCCGACCCGCACGAAAGGCGUAAUGAUUUGAGCGCUGUCUCGGCAAUACAUCCGGUGAAAUUGAAGUGCCAGUGAAGAUGCUGGCUACCCGCGCCAGGACGGAAAGACCCCAUGGAGCUUUACUCCAGUUUGGCACUGGGGUCCGGUGUUGCAUGUACAGGAUAGGUGGGAGGCUGAGAAACGGUAACGUCAGUUGCCGCGGAGCCGCUGUUGGGAUACCACCCUUGUGAUAUUGGGCUUCUAACCAGCCGCCGUAAACCGGCGGUGGGACAAUGCCAGGCGGGGAGUUUGACUGGGGCGGUCGCCUCCGAAAGGGUAUCGGAGGCGCCCAAAGGUUCCCUCAGAAUGGACGGAAACCAUUCGAAGAGUGCAAAGGCAGAAGGGAGCUUGACUGCGACACCGACGGGUGGAGCAGGUACGAAAGUAGGACUUAGUGAUCCGGUGGUAUAAAGUGGGAUUGCCAUCGCUCAACGGAUAAAAGCUACCCUGGGGAUAACAGGCUUAUCACUCCCAAGAGUUCACAUCGACGGAGUGGUUUGGCACCUCGAUGUCGGCUCAUCGCAUCCUGGGGCUGUAGUAGGUCCCAAGGGUUGGGCUGUUCGCCCAUUAAAGCGGUACGCGAGCUGGGUUCAGAACGUCGUGAGACAGUUCGGUCCCUAUCCGGCGUGGGCGUAGGAUAUUUGAGAGGAGCUGUCCUUAGUACGAGAGGACCGGGAUGGACGGGCCGCUGGUGUACCUGUUGCAGUGCCAACUGCAUGGCAGGGUAGCCAAGCCUGGAAGGGAUAAACGCUGAAGGCAUCUAAGCGUGAAGCCCCCCUCAAGAUGAGAUAUCCCAUUCGAAAGAAGUAAGACCCCUUGAAGACGACGAGGUAGAUAGGGCAGAGGUGGAAGUGCAGCAAUGUAUGGAGCUGACUGCUACUAAUCGGUCGAGGGCUUGACCUA